Molecule: ribosomal RNA, 156 nt
Filed under: uncultured bacterium
Lineage: Bacteria
Description: partial 16S rRNA
Rfam family: Bacterial small subunit ribosomal RNA
Source: RNAcentral
GGGCAAUUUGGACACUGGGCGAAAGCCUGAUCCAGCCAUGCCGCGUGUGUGAAGAAGGUCUUCGGAUUGUAAAGCACUUUAAGUUGGGAGGAAGGGCAGUAACUUAAUACUUGGUUGUUUUGACGUUACCGACAGAAUAAGCACCGGCUAACUCUG